This is a long non-coding RNA of Balaenoptera acutorostrata (minke whale), 891 nucleotides long. RefSeq lists it as uncharacterized. The transcript has 2 exons. Lineage: Eukaryota; Metazoa; Chordata; Mammalia; Artiodactyla; Balaenopteridae. The record is from RefSeq and is a predicted model, not a curated record.
CACAGCAGCAGUUUUGUGGGGGUAAAGAAGAGAUGGCUCCCAGGCAGUGGGGUGAGCAGGGCUGCGUCUGUGAUUCCUCCAAGGAACCGUCCAGACUUUGGCUGAUGCUCCGAGUGGGGGGACUCAUGGGUGGGGUCCCCUGCCUGCCUCAUCCCCCCUCAACUGGCAGGCUCAGAGCUGUGUUGGGGAGAGAAGAACAUCCGUGCUGUGAUGAUGUAUAGCCUCCUGCUGCCCCCAGGAGCCCCGAGGCGGAGUGGGGAGAGGGGUAGGAAGGGGGACGGUCACGGAGAUGUCCUGGUCCAGGAAGAUCCGCCCCCCACCCAGCUCAUCUCACUUGAUGCUCGCGGCAGCUCUGUGCAGUCGACAUAAUUAACUCCAUUUUACAGAUGAAGAAACCAAUAUUCAAAGUGGUUAUGCGGCUUGUUCAAGAUUGUACAAUUAAUUAGGAGUGGAGAGUGGGCUCAUUAGCUUCUCCAAUGAGCCAAAGUGCCUGUGUGUCUCUCUCCGGGGCUUCUGUUUCCUUAGGUAUAAGAUGCAUGCCUUUCCCUCCUUCUGCCUCAAUGGUCUGCUCCCUCUGGGCUGCUCCGGCUCUCGCCACAGGGUCAGCUGGGGCUAAAUCCGUGUCCAAGCUCCUCACUUGCCAUGAUCUUUGGUGAAGUCUCACUUUCCUCUGGUUUCCUGGAGGAAGCUGAGUGGACACAGAGAGAACGCCGAUUUUGGAACUAAGGGUCCUGAAGAGAAGGGUCUCACCUGAAUAUCAGGCUGUAUGAUCACAUCUAUUAUUCCCAAACAGAAGACUGGGGUAAAACAUGGAAUGAUGUUCAUACCUUCAUUAUUCCAAGUGUUUAUUGUAUCCUAAUCAUUACAUGUGUAAUGAAACGUUAAAAGGGU